GGAGGGGUAAGCAGUGCAGUGCAGAAGAGACACUAUAGAAUCCCAUAGAAUUGCUCUGCACAGGCCUUCAGGAUCCUGGGGCUGACGGCAUCAGGCCCUGGUGGUUUUUUGGUAGUCAGUCUCUUCAGCUGCCUCUUCACUUGACUUCUAGAGACAGAAAUUUGGAAGCUGGAGUACCAUCCUCUGAUUUGGCUGAGAACAAUUGUAUAAAAGCAGAAAUGCUGAUUCACAAAUGGAGCUACCCCCUCAAUCCAAAAAAACAGACAGCAGAAUCAGUGGAUACCAGAAUCAAGCCAGCAAAGAGAAUAAGAAGAGCCCACCUGCCCCCACUCAUCCUCCCGACCUUCUACAAAAGCACCUUAGAGAGCAUUCUAACCAGCUGUCUCCCUGCGUGAUGUGGAGGCUGAAGCACCUCAGACCGGAAGAAAGUGAGAAGAGUUGUGAGAAAAGCAGAGAAGAUCAUCGGGGCUUUCCUCCAUAAAAGACAUUUCAUCUCAGCGCUGCGUGUCCCACGCUCUUAAAAUAAUCAAUAACCCCUCUCAAACCCCAACAUAGACUGUUCUCUUUGCUGCCCACUGGGACGAGGCUUCACAGCUUCAGAUGCAGGUCCAGCAGAUUCUGCAACAGUUUCUUCCCCACCGCCAUCAGACUGCUGAACUGUUGAAAAACCUCCAAAUCAUGUCACAAACUCUGCAUCACACUGAUAACACCAAACCAAAAAUACUGCAUAUUUGGAACAUAUACAUUUAUGCUCUGAACUUCCAUAUCAAUGCUUUUUUUGUACCAUGUUUUUUCUCCCACACUGUUUAAUUUGAUCUCUGCUGCACUUUCUGGAAUUGAAAGGUUAAUUUACUGUCUGUAAAGCUGUACUAAAGUUUUGAAAAUGUAGUACAACAAUAAAAGCUGUCUAAGUCAGAAAGGGGCCAUAACAUUUUUUAGCAUUACUGGUAUCCUAACAAUCACGUAAUAAUAUCAUUGCCUGUUUUGGAUAACUGGUUAUUAAACAACUAAGCUUUUCUUUUCUGUUUUUGUUCUUUAAAAAUUGGCCUAAAAUAAGAAAAUGACAGAAGAAUGGCAAGAACAAUUCAUUAGAAGUCUGGACAAUGGAAAGACUACUGCAGCACUAGGCCGUCUGUGACUGCCUUAGACUUAAGACUUUUUUAAUCAACUUUGUUUAUCCUUUGGGAUUACUCCCUCAGGGAAUUUCUGGUUCCAGUAGCUUAUAUAGACUACAAAGAGUUAAAGUAAGAUGCCAUUAAAGAUCAAAAUACAGCAG
Long non-coding RNA from Cyprinodon tularosa, 1276 nucleotides. RefSeq lists it as uncharacterized. The transcript is spliced from 3 exons. The record is from RefSeq and is a predicted model, not a curated record. NCBI's taxonomy places the organism in Eukaryota, Metazoa, Chordata, Actinopteri, Cyprinodontiformes, Cyprinodontidae.